UUACGGGAGGCAGCAGUGGGGAAUAUUGGACAAUGGGCGCAAGCCUGAUCCAGCCAUGCCGCGUGAAUGAUGAAGGCCUUAGGGUUGUAAAAUUCUUUCAACGGUGAAGAUAAUGACGGUACCCGUAGAAGAAGCCCCGGCUAACUUCGUGCCAGCAGCCGCGGUAAUACGAAGGGGGCUAGCGUUUUUCGGAAUUACUGGGCGUAAAGCGCACGUAGGCGGGNUGAUUAGUUGGUGGUGAAAUCCCAGAGCUCAACUCNGGAACUGCCAUCAAUACUGUCAGCCUGGAGCAUAGUAGAGGUUAGUGGAAUUCCAAGUGUAGAGGUGAAAUUCGUAGAUAUUUGGAGGAACACCAGUGGCGAAGGCGACUGACUGGGCUAUUGCUGACGCUGAGGUGCGAAAGCGUGGGGAGCAAACAGGAUUAGAUACCCCUGGUAGUCCACGCCGUAAACGAUGAAUGUCUAGUUGUUGGUAAGUUUACUUAUUCAGUGACCGCAGUUAACACAUUAAGCAUCCCGCCUGGA
Molecule: ribosomal RNA, 524 nt
Filed under: uncultured Alphaproteobacteria bacterium
Lineage: Bacteria; Pseudomonadati; Pseudomonadota; Alphaproteobacteria
Description: bacterial SSU rRNA
Rfam family: Bacterial small subunit ribosomal RNA
Source: RNAcentral